GAUUGUACUGUAUUAGCCAUUCUCUGCACAUGCCCAUACCAUAUUAAUUGCUUCGUCAUGAUAUCGUGCACAAUUGUCCCCUUAACGCUCAUCAGCUCUCCAACAUACGUCCGAGAGAUAUUGAACAGAGGUAUAAAAUUAGCUUUAUUUGAUAUUCACGCAAACCGGAAUGAAAAUACUUAUUUUUUUUGUAGAGUUCUAAACAAGGAAGCUGGUCAGCAGAAAAUUGUGCUAUGCAUGAAAAAUACUAGUAGCUUCACGAAAAAUUUGGUGAUGAACAAAUCACUUUACCAUUGCAGUAGCACCGAUGCGUACGUUAUUAUAAGUCCUUCGAUUGGGAAGAGUCUUAGUUUAGUCGAGUGGAUACUGAUUCGUGGUGGACGGAAAGUUGUCUUGAUUGUGUCCAAUCAGAUUGGAGGAACCAAAAAACUGAACGAUUUAAUCAACAAAUAUGGAGCUCAACUCUUGAUAUCUUCAAUUAAAAAGCUCAACUCAGGCACGGAGACGGCAUCUUUGAGAGCAGAUUAAAAAACUUCGCCCGGUCCCUAUUGUAUUCAACAUUUUUAUGGACGAGAGACUGGCAUUACACAUAGCAUCCUUCCUUCCGAAUCCUCACCGAAUAGUCAACGUAGCUCGCACUCAGGACUCUAUCCAAAGCAACAAUGGAAGAAGUGGCAAUAUUCAAAAGGGCACCAGUCGCUUGUGCGUCAUAUGUGAAGACGGAGAGUCAUACUUGCAGAUUUUGGACCAAGCGCUGAUAAAUAAUACUGAUCCGAAAAUUGACUCGGUCUACUCUAUCAACGACAGUUCUAAAAAGUCAAAGAAACAAACCAUUCCAAUACGCGAGUACUUACCAAAAUCUUUCGAGGAACUAGAGGAGAUAGGAAAAUAUGCAGCAUCUUUUCCGAAGCCGCCAAUGACUCCAACCAACGACUCAACGGUUGAUUCCACCGAUGUCGCAACCGAUGCUCCGUCCGAUUCCGACAAGAACUCACCGUCAGACAAUGAAAAUACGCCUACCAAUAUACCUCCAUGCGCUGAGUUCGAGGAGAUUCACACAUUGACUUGGCGCCAAAAAUAUCAACGGGAAAUUUACCGGUGUACCUCAUCAGUAGCUCCGUGAAAAAAUUCGCCCCAAUCCAGAAAAAAACUGUUGUACCCACUGUACUUUGCCAAAUUUUCGGAACAGAUACCGUCAGCAGCGGAGGCUGCUAAACAUUUGUGCAAUGUAAGGGUUUAAUUUAUUCAAAGUUUUUCCUCCAUAAGAUGGUUAUGAUUUUUUUUCUUUCUAAAGCUCCUGUGAGUCACUUAAACAACAGUUUUGGAAAGGACAGUUUUUUAUUUCACCCAUGAAGUUUAGGUCUAAGAAAAUAUAGUUUCAACAGAUCGUGAGUGUUAAUAUCAUUCGAAGACUUUCUUCCUCGCGGUAAGGCAUUCUUGGAAUUAUAGAUGAGUAUAUUUGUGUCAGCAUUCAGCCUUCAUAAAUGUAGCAAGGUGUGUCUCCUAUCGAUACGUCUUCAUUAGAUGCAUUUUCAAGUCAUUUCUUUACUUUUUAAUAGCAAAUUAGGAGCAUGUUUAAAGAGUCAAAUAUGGGAAACACAUUGAAAUAUUGAAGACGGAAUGGGAUUUUUUUAAAAAAAAAUUGUAUUAUUAUUUUUUUAGGUAUUUAUUCAUUUAUUUAUUUUUUUUUUGUUGAAGUUUUACCAAUUAAUAUUCAAUUUUAGUCUUACACGUUGGGGUUGCGACAAGUCCAUAAGGUAUUUUUUCCAUAAAGAUUCUGUGAGUACUCUCUAUUUUUUUUCAGUCCAUCUGUACCAUUCAACCAAAGGACCGUGCACUAUCAUAACAGAAACUUGGAAUAUACCAAUUGCUAUGGAGCUCAUUGGAAAAUUGAAGGAAUGUCACCGACAAGCUUAUCUAACUAUUCUACCUAUUAGCCAAAAGAGUUUACUCUCUUUACUUCCAGAGGAAGAAAAAACUGGAAGACAUCGUGCUACGAAAUAUACUGCAGUUAUCUUUAAAGGUGAAUUAUCUGUAAUACUACCAUUUUCUCCGAGGACUAUCAUUUCUUGUGGAAGAGAAAUGAUUCUUGGAAUUGGUUUCGUGCGUUUUGGAAUAUUAUGUGAAAGUUUGUUCCGUUUCUUCAGGUCCGUCUGAACAGGUCGAAACGAUUUGUCAUCCUCCUUGCAUAAGGGCGUAACUACACUCCGAGAUGAAUCUGUUGUCCAUAUAACUCAAUGCUCUCUCGGGCUCAUCUCUAAGUGCAGUUACGCCCUUAUGUAAGCCAAGCGACAAAUUUAAGGUGCCAUUGCCACCCAGAUAGAAAGCAAAACCCUACCUCCUCCAUUUUAAGCUCUCCUUCAAAAUGCAUAUAAAUAUAUAACUCAUAAGUUACUUUGCACCAAAAUAAACACAACUUUUACUUCUCAAAUAAUGCUGAGUGCUCCUGUAUUAAGUGCGGGAAAAAGAAAGAUGAAGUUAAAUUAAGAAACCUCGUGAAAUUAUUUGAGACUCCACCUAUUAGCUACUUUAAGUACAUACCCCCAAAUCAGAAGGCUGUGAUAGGAUUGCGCGAAUGCAACGUUUUUUUACCUUUUUAGAGAUGCAUAGGAAUGCGCGAGUGUUUCUGCUACUGAAAACUCACAUAUAUUUGCGCGAAUAUUCAAAUUCGACGAGAAAGCGUUAAUCUGGUAACCCUGGUAGUUUGCGGUGGAUAACUACAUCGCAGAGGAUUGUUUUUCCCUCCUCAUUUACGAUGGAUCUCUUGGAUUGGACGUUCUCUCUUCGAUGGAUAGCCCUCGCAGUACGAAUGGCUCAGAUAGUUUUCAUAGACAUUUAAAAACUGAACUAGGGGCCUGUGGCCGCUACGCAGCCGCAAAUCACUGAAUAAAACUCCACGUAAAAUCGUAGGGCAACCGUGCUCAAAUUUUUUAUGAGAUGAAUGGAUUCAAAACCCGACGGUGCACCCAAAAGAAAGCGAAUAUUUAUCUCUGAUCACACGUUAUGCACCACUUUUAUGUUUCAUUCUUAAUACAUGUUUUUAAAAAGCUACACACAGUUUUUGUGAAAAAGUUCCGCAAAUUUACAUAAAUGAUAUCAAAUAAAAGUAUCCGAAAUCUCGACGCGAUUUUUAGUUUGCUCUAUUUUAUUUUAAUGUAAAAAAAAUUAAAUAUCAUCCGAGUUUCUGAAUCGUUACGAUGAGGAUACAUAUUUUUCCUUUAAUUAUGGUAAAAACUGGAGCAAAAAGUCAGAAUGAUAACACGCAGACCUACAGCAUUCCUGCAAUUUUGUAGACGCUACGAGGCGUUUUACGCCAACUGACCGACUGCGCUGCGUUUGGC
Molecule: long non-coding RNA, 3341 nt
Filed under: Bemisia tabaci
Lineage: Eukaryota; Metazoa; Arthropoda; Insecta; Hemiptera; Aleyrodidae
Description: lncRNA ENSSWEETPG006725
Source: RNAcentral